Molecule: long non-coding RNA, 1708 nt
Filed under: Malus domestica (apple)
Lineage: Eukaryota; Viridiplantae; Streptophyta; Magnoliopsida; Rosales; Rosaceae
Description: long non-coding RNA (MDOM_LNC004483)
Source: RNAcentral
CAUUUACAAAACUAAGUUUUCCUUUCCCACUCAGGGCAAGUGAAACUGCACGAGACUAAGGUAGAUAGUUGAAUCCAUUCAACAAAAUGGAACACAAACACUGAUUGGUAUUAACCUCAGUGUCUGAGAAGUUUGAAGGGGAAAUAUAGGAGGUAUCACCCUCAAUAUUUACUGGAUCUUCUUCCGCCAUGGCUUAAGAUUAAAGGUGUGAAACAACGGUGAUGAAUUGGCCAGAGACAAGUUACAAAUAAAACUGCUCUAAUACCAUGUUACUUGCCUAGUUUAAAGUGUAUUGUAUUUCAUAAGGAGAAUGCAUGUACAAGGACACAUAUGUAGGAAAGAAAGAAAAGGUUACAAGCAACCCUAGAGACCGGGUAAACCUAGAACCCAUACUCUUCCUUAAUUUAAGGUGAUUCACACCAAACACAAGACUAAGAAGUAAAAACAAGUGAAAGAUCUUAAAUCAAGGAGAAGAGGUAACGCUGGCAUUGAUAAUGAGUAGCCAUGAUAAUUACUUGGAGACUUAUGAUAUGGGAUGAUACGCUAGAGUGCUAGGGAUUCAUUUAUGGACCAAAGACUUCUAUACUUCAACAUCUAUGGAUCAAAGACUUAGUCUUCAACAUUUAUGGACCAAAGACUUUUAUACUUCAACGGAAAACCACCACCACCUUUACCAUUUUCUGUCAAAAUUUUAACUAGAAAUUGUUCGAAAUGUGCCCUAAGGCCAAUCAUAUGAUGAUACUUUACGAGCAUUUCACAUGUUAAACUAAUCUAGUUUAAUAUAAAAAAGCAAAGAUUAUUGUUUAAAGCUGUCUCAUAUAAAUGUUAUAUGCUUAAACGAUUAAGUCCAAGGAAUUUGUAAUUAGGAGAAUGUGAUCUAAAGAAGUUAGAUUCAUGAGACCAUUCUCUUCUGUAUACAUAUCAUAAACGUUCUUGAUCAUAGGAUUACUAAUUGGGCAUUGACAGUCCAUUAAGAUCAGUACGUGCUAUGUCUUCUCUUAGAGAGAGUGACUGGUCUCGAGUCAUUGGUGUGACUGACAACAAGACAAGCAUGUAGAUGCUCAAUAGAGAAUGAGUCCACUGAACGCAAUCAACGAGAAGUUCUCAUACUCGCUCAAUAGAGAAUGGGUCCACUGAACGCAAUCAACGAGAAGUUCUCAUACUCAUGUCACAUGAGAACUCAUGGUUAGGAUAAUGAAAAGUAGUCCUUUGACCUGAGGCAUCAUAGUUGUCUUAUGGUUAAGUCCUUGAUCUUUGACUAUAUCAAAGUCACUCCGUCAAAGGGUGUCCACGACAUAGUUGGGGUUAAGCCACUUACCCAUGGAGGCAAGUGAAUGCAUAACAAGGGAUUUCUAACCUUCAAACCGUUUGAGGGAGAAUACUCUAUGAUAUGAUUAAGAAUCUCUAGCCAGAGUAUGAAUAAGAUUUAGGAAUUCGUUCCAAAUCACAUUCAAGGUAAUCAUAUAAGUAAGAGAAUCACAUUGGAUAAUAGACAUGAAUAAACUAUCAAACCAAACAAUGUGGUCAAGAGUAUUGGAUUAGAGAAAUACCAUAUUGCAUUGUAAUCCUAAACUGAAUAAGUUCUCCACCUCUUCUGAUUAGCUUGGGUAGCCAUGUCCCUCAUGGUUUGUGGAAGCCCUAAAGGCGUAUAAUCACUAAAGGGAGAAUCAAAAGUAAGUUUCAAUUCACAAUCGAUUUGAAGAGUUCU